CGAUAAGCUGUCGAAGGUUAAUUACUGAAGGCGAACGCAUUCUUCUGGGUGAGAUGGCAGACGGGUGAGUAACACGUGGGAACGUGCCCUCCGGUCUGGGAUAACCCUGGGAAACUAGGGCUAAUACCGGAUACGUGCUUUGGCAGAAAGGUUUACUGCCGGAGGAUCGGCCCGCGUCUGAUUAGCUAGUUGGUGGGGUAACGGCCUACCAAGGCGACGAUCAGUAGCUGGUCUGAGAGGAUGAUCAGCCACACUGGGACUGAGACACGGCCCAGACUCCUACGGGAGGCAGCAGUGGGGAAUAUUGGACAAUGGGCGCAAGCCUGAUCCAGCCAUGCCGCGUGAGUGAUGACGGCCUUAGGGUUGUAAAGCUCUUUUCUCCGGGACGAUAAUGACGGUACCGGAGGAAUAAGCCCCGGCUAACUUUCUGCCAGCCGCCGCGGUAAUACUAAGGGGGCUAGCGUUUCUUGGAAACCCGGGCCUAAAGGGCGCGUAGGCCGGGUUUUAAGUCCGGGGGGAAAACCCUUGGCUCAACCACAGAAUGGCCUUCGAUACUGGGACGCUUGAAUCUGGUAAAGGUUGGUGGAACUGCCAGUGUAAAGGUGAAAAUUCUAUAGAUAUUCGCAAGGAACCACCCGUGGUAAAAGGCGCCAACUUGUCCCAUUUCUGAACCCUUAGGCCUCAAAAGCUGGGGGGGGAAAAAAGGGUUUAUCGAUCCCCUGUGGAGUUCCCCCCCCCUAAACGAAUGAAUGCCUACCUGUUGGGGGGUGCAUGGCACCGUAAUUUUCCCCUCCUUAACCUAUUUACGCAUUCCCCCCGGGGG
This 823-nucleotide ribosomal RNA is filed under the name Methylobacterium sp. TP4-2. RNAcentral's name for it is "partial 16S ribosomal RNA". It matches the Rfam family "Bacterial small subunit ribosomal RNA", at positions 47 to 879 of the family's 1533-position model. The record is from RNAcentral. Lineage: Bacteria; Pseudomonadati; Pseudomonadota; Alphaproteobacteria; Hyphomicrobiales; Methylobacteriaceae.